This 77-nucleotide transfer RNA is filed under the name Leifsonia sp. Leaf264. Its description in RNAcentral is "tRNA-Ile". It matches the Rfam family "tRNA". From Rfam's summary of the family: Transfer RNA (tRNA) molecules are approximately 80 nucleotides in length. Their secondary structure includes four short double-helical elements and three loops (D, anti-codon, and T loops). Lineage: Bacteria; Bacillati; Actinomycetota; Actinomycetes; Micrococcales; Microbacteriaceae. The record is from RNAcentral.
GGUCUAUUAGCUCAUUCGGUUAGAGCGCUUCGCUGAUAACGAAGAGGUGCGGGGUUCAAAACCCUGAUAGACCACCA